UACAGAGGGUGCGAGCGUUGUCCGGAAUCACUGGGCGUAAAGGGCGCGUAGGUGGCGCUGCAAGUCGGUGGUGAAAGCUCGUCGCUUAACGGCGAGUCGGCCAUCGAAACUGCAGGGCUCGAGCACUGUAGGGGCUAAUGGAAUUCCGGGUGUAGCGGUGGAAUGCGUAGAGAUCCGGAAGAACACCAGUGGCGAAGGCGGUUAGCUGGGCAGUUGCUGACACUGAGGCGCGACAGCGUGGGGAGCAAACAGG
RNAcentral lists this ribosomal RNA (253 nucleotides) under uncultured bacterium. RNAcentral describes it as "partial 16S ribosomal RNA". It matches the Rfam family "Bacterial small subunit ribosomal RNA", at positions 524 to 776 of the family's 1533-position model. The record is from RNAcentral.